CGGCGGACAACAAAUCAAAGUUCCAAGCAAAUAGCAACGCAAUAUGUCUUAAAUCAGGACAUAAUCAUUUGAAUUAUUUAAUAGCUUUAUUUUGGUAUUACAAUCACAGACGUGCAAGCUAAUGCAUAUUAUAAUUAACUCUAGUCGAGUUAAGUUAAGCGUACAUGCCGCGAUCGUUUAGUUUGAAAUAAUAAUGUUGACUGGUUAAGUUUAAAGUUAAUAUUGAAACUUCAACUUCAACUCAACUGUGUUUUGAAAAAAUGAUCGUCGAUCUCUUAUCUUUUAUCUUUCCAAUAGAGUAUAACUUAUAUGUGAUUUUACAAGUUGAACUCUCAUACGCAGCUGCCGCGGCAAGAAAUCGUGAUAUUUUUUUACGCCCCGGGACGUCUAAACUUCCAAACAGCUACGUCCAUAAAUUGUCCUUAUUUGACGCCUCGAGGACCGUAUUGUCAAAUACUUAGAUUUGUCUGACAACUUGAUGAGUAUAAGUAGUUACACAGAAGCAGAUGAUUUAGUGAAAGCGUUGAUGUACCUAUACAAAUCAAAAUUUGAACGAGCACCUACAGUUUUUCAGUUACUCAAAAUUAUUGUGAUUAAUAUCAAUCUAUAAAUAUUUUAUAAAAAACAAUGAAAUACAGCUUUUAACGAGAGCGCGACGAAAAAAAAAACAUAUUAAAUUUAUGGCGAAAAUCGCUAAUUGCAUGCUUUGGCCGCCGGUGGAGUAUCCUGCGGGGCUUUCCAUUGUGCCGGUAAAGGAAAAGACGUUCAAUUUAUGUAAAUAUCACAGCACAAAACCGCACCACUGUGCGAGUUAAAUGAUAAUAGUAUAAUAUUAUAAUUAUUCAUUUUUCACAAUGGACUGCUUCUGCUGCUGCUGUAGUUGUUGUCGAGUCCCUGCGGAUGGCCGGAUCUAUACCUAGGAUUUGAACAGGAAACCACAUGGGUACGGGAUAAACCAAAUGUCUCGUUACGAAAUCAGAAAUUGGCGAAGAUUUGCAUUCAACCUCCAAUUCUAACGAUCCAUAGCGAGUUGCAGUUUGGUGGUGUGAAAUCGAUGUUUUAUAAGAGGCUGGUGAAACGAUACCAGAAAUUGCAAGAUGUAAGAUGGAAGAAGAAAAAUAUUAACGACUCAACAAGGGAGAUCCUAGGCACGUGGGCUAGUUUUUUCGAUAACAAUCAUAUUUUUUCAAACUAUACUUUUAGGUGUAUUAUUAUAUUUACUAAAUAAUUUUGACUUAUUGGUACCACCUGUCACCUACCCACAUGUUUGUCGUAAACUAAGUACGAUUGGAUUAAGUAUCGAUAUCAUCUAAUGGGAAAAUUGGUAAUUUUGUAUUGAAUACCUAAUGAAUUGCUCAACGGAAGGGCGACCGACUGUGACUUGACAUCAGCUCAAAAAAAUUUUGCAGUUGCAGCACUGAAAUUAACGCAUUCUAGUGCACUCGUGUAGCGCAUUUUUGGUCAGUCCUCUCCGCAACAGCAAAUCAUUUACCAUAAUAUUGUGACUACUUCUGAAUUCAUUUAUAUUACGCUGUAUUGCAUUAUAUUCACAAAACUGUACCUACCUAAAUGGUAGACCUAAUAAAAUAUUAAAAAUCUUACAGCCGGAAGAGAAAAA
This is a long non-coding RNA of Myzus persicae (green peach aphid), 1618 nucleotides long. RefSeq lists it as uncharacterized. The transcript has 4 exons. The record is from RefSeq and is a predicted model, not a curated record. Lineage: Eukaryota; Metazoa; Arthropoda; Insecta; Hemiptera; Aphididae.